This is a long non-coding RNA of Capsicum annuum, 1441 nucleotides long. RefSeq lists it as uncharacterized. The record is from RefSeq and is a predicted model, not a curated record. The transcript has 3 exons. NCBI's taxonomy places the organism in Eukaryota, Viridiplantae, Streptophyta, Magnoliopsida, Solanales, Solanaceae.
AUUUAUUUGAAAUUAUAGUUUUUUUUAGGGUGAGAAAAUAAUCCUUUGAUAACUUGUCAUGAUAGAACUAAAACAACGUACACCUAAAAUUAAACACCACUCGUGUGAUAUUGUGUUUAUUAACCCUAAUAUAAUCAGAGCAAACGGGAAGCUCUAAAUAUUGGGAAAAUAUGGAUAAACUUAUCAAAUUACUACUUCAAAUUAUGAACUUUGACUGCUUUUGUUUUGGAACUUCAUCUGAAAAGAAGAAGAAGAAGAAGAUGUUUCCACAUCUUAAAGGGAAGUCAUAAAAGAAUAUAAUUGAAGAGAAUAGACUUGUGAAGCAGUUGAAGAAUAUAAUUGAAGAGAUGGUUGUGGAACAGUGAAAAAAUAUAUAUGAUGAGGCCAUGGAAAUCCACUUCCCAGUGGAAACAAUUGUGGAAAUCCUCAUCAGGUUACCUGUGCAGUCUCUUCCUCGAUUCAAAUGUGCUUCAAAAUCUUGGAAGACGUUGAUCUUGCGUCCAUACUUUAAGUCGAAGCAUUGCAAUAAUCAUGCAAAGAAUAAUAAGAAGCUUCUUAUUGCUCGAAUGAACCCUGAGGUUCGUACGAUAUCAUAUUAUCGUUCUUCUUUAUCUUCAUCAUCCUCGUCUCAACCACUACAAAAGCUUGUUUGCCCUUCAAAUCAUGAUCUGAGAAAUUACGCAAUAGCAUGUUGUUGCGAUGGCUUGUUUCUUCUUCGGUGUCGUGGUGAAUUUUUACUGUGGAACCCAUCCACAAAUUAAGCAGUACAACUUCCUAAUUAUGAAUUUCCAGACGCAACCAGUUUCGGGUUGGGAUAUGACUCGAUUAGCGAUGACUAUAAGAUUCUUGCGACUGAAAAUUGCAAUGGUGACAGGCGGCCCAAUAAAAUCCUGCGCUUCUUGGAGAGAAAUCGAUAACUAUCCUCCUGGCUUUCGCGAUACUACGUAUGGCGAUUUGGCAUUUCAUUGGAUCUGUAUGGAUGAUUUACUCAAGUCUUUUGUGAUUUCGUUUAAUAUAUCAAAUGAGGUGUACGGAGAGAUAUAUCAUUGCCUGAGGAAAUUUGCAUUAUUAUUUCGGUUGAUGGCUAUGUAGUACGUGGCAUUUCAGUAUUAGAAGGAAUGCUUUGUGCUUAUUGUACUUGCAGAGAGAUGGCGGUAGGCACUUUUAAAUUAUGGAUAAUGAAAAACUAUGGUGUCAAGGAAUCUUGGACUAAAUUAUUUACGAUACGAGAGGCCAAUUUGUUUUUAGUCAUACCGAAAUAUAUGUUUGCGGAUGGUGAUGUGCUACUCUACUACCAAGAGGCUAUAUGUCGUUGCUUUAGGACGUCCAAAGGACCAUAUGAAUUGUUAGAUUCAUAUCACGCCUUACUACAAGAAUUUGUUUAUACGGAAAGUUUGAUCUCUCCAAAAUUACUUAUUUAGUAUUAGCUUAUCUUUGAUCA